RNAcentral lists this ribosomal RNA (1539 nucleotides) under Triticum aestivum (bread wheat). RNAcentral describes it as "partial small subunit ribosomal RNA". The record is from RNAcentral. Lineage: Eukaryota; Viridiplantae; Streptophyta; Magnoliopsida; Poales; Poaceae.
AUGGGAAGGCUGGCCGUCGCCGCCGCGGUGGCCGCAUGGGCUAUCCCGAUCGCCGCCUUGGUUGACUCCAUCGUGCCUGACCCCUACAUGGAUGAGAUAUUCCAUGUUCCCCAGGCACAGCACUACUGCCGUGGAGAUUUCUUGACUUGGGAUCCCAUGAUCACCACCCCUCCUGGCCUGUACUACAUUUCUCUAGCAUAUCUUGCUUCCCUGUUUCCUGGUGCAUGGGCUAUCAAGGUAGCAGAGGCAUUUGACCCCCUUUGCACCACAGCACUUCUCCGGUCAACUAAUGUUAUAAUGGCAAUGGUCUGCGGUGUUCUUGUCCAUGACCUGCUUCUGUGUAUCAAGCCAGGAAUUGGCAAGACGAAGGCAACUGCUUAUGCUAUUCUUGUAGCGUUGUAUCCUGUCCACUGGUUCUUUACCUUUCUGUAUUAUACUGAUGUCGCAUCAUUAGCUUCAGUUCUUGCGAUGUACCUGUCCUGCUUGAAGAAACGGUUUUGGGUCAGCGCAUUGUUCGGUGCUCUCUCAAUACUUUUCCGGCAGACUAAUGUAAUAUGGAUGAUAUUUUUUGCUGCCAAUGGAGCCAUUGCAUAUGUGCAAGAUCUUUCUCUCAGUGACUGCCUUUCUGAUGAGAACAGUGAACCAACAGAUAAAUCAAGAACAGAAGUGUCUGACAGGGAUAGCAAAGUCAGUGCUUUAGGUUUGAGAAGACGACGAACUAAUCACCCCAUAAGGAAGAGGGGAGUUGUUUCUGGAUCUACUAAAUCGCACACCAGUUUUACGGAAGAACUAUUCGACAUCGGCUUCAAAAUAUGGAAUUCAAAGUGUAAAGUUUUAAUCACUUUUGCACCGUUCGCAAUAGUUCUGGUGGCAUUUGGAGCAUUUAUAAUCUGGAAUGGUGGCAUAGUACUAGGUGCCAAGGAAGCUCAUGUUGUUUCGCCACAUUUUGCACAGUUAUUGUACUUUGGUCUAGUGUCAGCUACUGCCCUCCUACCGUGGCAUUUUACUCCCGGACGAGUAUCAGACUUGUUCCACUGGUGUAGAAAGAACAAAACCUUUAGUUCUCUGGCAAUGCUGAUAGCUCUUGGUUUAAGCUUUGUGGCUGUACAUUUAUUCAGUAUUGCUCACCCUUAUCUUCUGGCUGACAAUAGACAUUACACGUUCUAUAUCUGGAGGAAGGCCAUACAAGCUCGCUGGAUGAUGAAAUACAUUUUGAUUCCACUUUAUGUGUACUCAUGGUUUUCAGUUAUCAACAUCUUAGUUUUUCCUGAUCUUACAGGGAAAUCGCAGCCAAGAGUUUGGGUGGUGUCCUUUGUUUUCUCAGUUGCUCUAGUUCUCGUCCCUGCUCCGUUGGUCGAAUUUAGAUACUACACAAUCCCAUUGGUCAUACUGGUCCUUAAUUCACCGGUAAUCGGUAAUGGCAAAUUGCUUGCUUUGGGGUCUGCAUACGCUGCUGUGGAUUUGUUCACUCUGGCGAUGUUUCUGUUCAGACCAUUCCAUUGGGGCCAUGAGCCGGGAACACAAAGGUUCAUGUGGUAG